ACCACGACGUGCGCCACUUAACACCCCCCACUCGCCCUCAAUUUUUGGUAGCCGCACGCCCCCUCCGCUCUAUGCUUCUAUGUCGCUCCGCCCCACUCUCUCUUCAUCGACGGCGAGCGGUGGCCCCUUCUCCGGUCGAUUCACGGUCGUAGGCAUCGGUUCCACCGGUCACAAUGCCAAGGAAGUGCAAGUUAGAUGGUGACAUUGAGGAGGUAAACCCCUUAAAGAAGCAUAAGCCUCCCACAGAUCGGAACAGGGCUUCUCCUAGUGCUCUUGUGACUGCCUGUAAGGACAUGUCAGAUGAGAGAAUGUCCGCGAUUGAUGACAUGGAUUUCACUAGUCUGAGGAAUAUCAAAUGUGAUAAUCUCUUCAAUCAGCUUUCUCAAUGGCUUGCUGGUCUAUAUGACCCUGAUUCAUGUGAGGUUGUUACCUGGUCACGGAAGGUUACAUGUCAAUGAAGAGUCCGUGCAUCGGAUAAUGGGGUGCCCCGAGGUGAUAUUGCGGUGGAUUUAAAGGCUCCUACAGAUGCACAACUUGAGCUUGCGGGAGAUCUUUUUGGUGACCUUGGACAUUCUCCUAGAACUGUGGAUGUAUUAAAUCUUAUCUUGAGCACUAACGGGCAUGAUGACAACUUCAAGCACUUGUGUCUUGUGCUUGCUGCCAGCACUGUGAUGGUGCUGACAACUUCCAACAAGAUCAGCACCAGAUGGUAUCCUGCGUUGGUUCAGAUUCUGAUCAUGAGCAUGAUGAUGGUGGCGGUGAUGGUCACUCUGACGAAGAUCUAGAUUUUCACAUUCAUUACCACGGUUCUUCAGUUGGUUUUGAUGCUUUCGGUAGCGGUGGACCGAACGCCCAUGAGACUUCAGGUAGUGGGGCAGCGAAUGCAGAUGUGGGUGAAACCAUUUUCGCAACUCCAAUGUGUCGAUAAGGUCAGCUGGAAUUGGUGGAACCACCACUCCUGCAGGAACCGACCAGCCUCUUGAGUCUCGGAUUAUGCUUACUGCAUGUUCCGGGAAUGUAUCUGGUGAUGGAUUGCAUAACCAGCCAGAUACGACUGUUACUCAAAAUGAGGCUGUUGUUGAUGCUUCUGUGAAGAGGUGCGGUUCUUCUCUUGUCCGUAACUUGGAUAAGAAAUAUUCCAGGCGUCGCAAGGAAUUACGUCUACCUUCUCCACCCAUGGCCACUAGUACAACUGUCUUUGACCAGCCGUCGUUGGAUGAUACACAUCAUUGUACCAAGGCAAUGGUCAUCAAUGAGCUUGGCAUUGUAGGCCCUGAUAAGGGCAUUAACUCAGUAAUUGCCGAUCCCACGCGGAAGAAGCAGCAUCCUCGGAACGGUUCGGAUGCUCCAUCUAUUAGUGUUGCCGGCCUUCCGCAAAUGCGGUCUACCAGCGUGGGCGUCACAUCUGAGGUGGUACCUAGUAAUCUUACAUGUUCUUCGGCAGAUGUGGACUCGUCUGACACGUCAUGCAGCAAGAAGAUCAUGUUGCUGUGAGAAAGGUUAAGGUGUCUUCUAAAGUUGCAGUUGCAACUAGGUCUUCUCCUCGUUUCACUUCCAAGGAUCUGAAAGAUGAUUUUAAAGACUGCUCGUGGUUACUUCUCCAAUAGCCGUUGUGCAAGAUGAUGCCCCUGUGAGGAAUUCACCAGAUGCUGGUUUUGGAGCUGUGGAACAGCUCGCGGCAGCGGCCACUAUUACUCAAGUGGUAGAAGAGAUUGCCAAUGUUGUUCUUAGCACUCAACCUGAAACUUUUGUUGAUCAAGCUCAAGGAAAUGCUCCUACAGGUAGUGUUACCAUAGCUGAAGAUGCCCAAGCUCCUGCCAAAGCACCAUGUGUUGUUCAAUCUCAAGUUGAAUCUGCCCAAUCCACUAUGGAAGAACCAGUUGAAACUGAAGCUGCAGUAGGUGUGGAAGCUCAAGCUGGGGAUGACCAAGUCACCACCCAAGAAUUCAGCAGUAAUGUAGAUGUAGAAGAUGUUGCUGCUAAGAGGGCCUACUGGGAUUUCACACCACCAUCUUGCUCUCUUGGCCUAGAUUUUGGCCUUACACCGCCAGCACUAGAUAUUACUACGACAGCCGCAGUCCCAGCUGCAGUACCAGCACCGGCCCCAGUGGUUCUUUCGACAACUCAAGCACCAGUAGUGGACCCAGCGGAUAACAAUGCUCCCCAAGAACCAGCAACAGCAUCCCCAAUUGAUCAGACGACGGCAGCACCUCAGGAUUUAAAGAAUGCAAGAGAUAAUCUUGUUGACGCUAAGCCGGUUUCAUGCUCUUAGCCUGCUGACAUUGGUAAGUGAAGGCAUUUAUGUGUCCCCUAAGAGUGAUGGGAUGGAUGUCUGCUUUUGAAGACUUUUUUAUGCUUUCAGUUUGCUCCUUAUCUGUCUAUUUAUGCUAUGUAUGGACCCCCCCCCCCCAUGUAAUGACUUUUGCUUUUGCGUGUGUGCUAUGGAAUUAACUAUGUGUUUUCAUUUCACAUUUGUUCUUCCCUUUUAUGUUGUCUAGUCUAUGGACGUAUUACUGGUAUUUAUUGUUCAUUAUUCCUGGUAAUAUUACUAACAUAUGACUGAUAAUUAUAGCGCUCUACUUUUUUUGCCGCUAACUGCAACUACAUGAAAGAUAUUGUACUUUUUUUGCUGACCAUUUAAUUGUACGGUAAGUUUUACCAUGAUAACCUUUGCGAAUGUUAUGCUGGUAUUUAUAUAGAGACCAGAGCUUUUUAUAACAAAAGUGUUCAAACUAACUGGCUUCACUUUUUGUGCAAACUAGUUACCCACAUGGUAACAUUUUUUAUCACACCCCUGGUAACUAUAUUUUGUUGUUUGUGAAGGUGGUAACUAUAACAUCCAAGUGAUUUUUAUGCUAUAACUCCUGAACUAAUUAACCAUAUGAUCCCCUGAUAACUUAUGUUAUUACCAUGCUGAUAGCUUCAACCCUUUUCUUUUGUUGCUGAAAAUACACGCCCCAUCCCCCCCCCCCCACACACACACAAACCAUUCUAAUACAUUCAUGCUCACCCUUUAACUAUCCUGACCCCCCCUCAUUUUUUCCAUUUUUUCUCUCUGUAGUAAUUAUAUCAUCAAGCUGAACUAACUAUCACUUUUUCUUUAGCUGUUUUUCCACAUAUUUGACACCUUUUCAUGACAUUUUCUUUCGGUUCACAAACUGACCUGAUCCCAAAUUUUUGAAGAGCGUCAAGUUCGAGUUUAUGAUUUUGAUGUUGAAGACAAUGAUGUAAUUGUGUGGGUUGAAAAAGUCGAACGUGCCAGUGUACAAAUUAUGCUUCUGUAAAAGACCACCCCCAUCAGCCCUGAAUUUGUUACACCAGUUAUUCAACCUCCCAUUGGUAUUCAUCAGCCAGUGUGACUCCUAAAUCGUACAUUCGGAAAGUUAGGGUAACCCGCCCAUCGCAGUUUCUACUGCCUCCAUAUUGUGGCCUCAUGGCAUCUGCACUCAAAGAGGCUAUUUACGCAGAAGUUAUCAAGCACACCACUGAUUCAGUUGACUCCAGGAUAAAACAUAUUAGGGUUAUUGACAUCGAUGGGUGGUGGGUCACAUUGGAGGAGCUUGCUAAUAGUGUGAAAGAAGGUGGUCAUGUUUCGAAUAAUAUUGCAGAGUUGCACAUCCGAACUCUUGCCGAUUUUGUACCCCAGGGAAGAUUAUUUUUCCGUGGUUGCUAUCAGUAUAUCUCCUCGUAGGUGAUUUCAAGAGCAAGUGCCUAAUCAAACAUUUCCGUCGUGAUCGAAACUACAUACUUAGUCACCAAAAUCAGAAUAUAGCCCUUCGCUUAUCACAAAUGCGACGAAGCUUAUGAAUGGUAUUAAAAAAGCCUAGUUGAUUGUGUACAAGGAAUCGAGUAACCAGAUCCAAGACUAUGAUCUUGUGUACAUCGAUGUGUUCAAACAGGACAAUGGCACUGAUUGCGGUUUCUUCGCGUUCAAGAUCUUGGAGUUCUGGGAUGGUAAAAUAUGUCGGCAAUAACUCAGGAGCAGAUCCCGGCGUUGAGGAAGAUAUUGACAAGCAUGUGGCUGGACCAUCCUCAUAACAGAUGCACGCAGUGGCGCUAUCACUUGUUCAAUAAGAAGUAAUUGAGAUUUUUGAAGGCAAGAAACACAGGGGUGAUUGGCAAGAACAUUAAACAGGAUAAUUACAGUACAACAUGAGCAUCUCCAUUAAAAGGCACCACUUUUCUUUAUCCAAUGGUAGUUCUUAACAAAAGUGGAUGAUAACUUUUACUAUGUACAGAUUGGGAACUUGUUUUCUUCAUGCAAUAUAGCAUUGUAGACAGAAAAAUGAACCUAUUGUAAUGCAUUUUCCAUCGUAGGACUGUAUGAUUUUUGUGAUCAAUGAAGGUUCCUCUUUUCUUUA
This is a long non-coding RNA of Triticum aestivum (bread wheat), 4361 nucleotides long. RefSeq lists it as uncharacterized. The record is from RefSeq and is a predicted model, not a curated record. NCBI's taxonomy places the organism in Eukaryota, Viridiplantae, Streptophyta, Magnoliopsida, Poales, Poaceae. The transcript is spliced from 10 exons.